GUACAUAUUAUAUUAUAUUUAUAUUUUCAUAAUAUGAUAAUAUAAAACAAUUGUUAUAAUAGAUUGAGCACGUGUGUGCAUAAUCGCAAGAAAUUAACAUCGAGUGUGCAUCGUUAUGUGCUUUCAUGAAAUUACGCGGCUGCAAAAUUGCACAUGUCGAAUUAUCUGCCGCAAAAGACGCCGUGACUCGGCAUGAUUAAGAUUCCUGAAGCGUUCGCACGAUCACUGAGACAAUGCAGAAUUUAAGCUCGAUGCGAGUACAAGCAGUGAUAUACAACAAAUGUUUCCUCUUUCAUCAAAUUUAUUAAAUUCAUAACAAAUAAUAGUUUAAAUCAUUACAGCAUAAUGAAGAAUUUAUAAUGUAAUAAUAAUAUGCAAUUAAUAACAGGAAAUAAUGGACAAACAUCUAUUCCACGUAAUUUUAGAACAUAUAAAUAUUUUUUAAUCAUUAUGCGACGCCCGAAAUCAUGAUUUAUUCAUAAAUGUAUCAAUUAUCUCUUAAACUUGAACUCGACUAUGUGAGAAGAGAAACAUAAAUUAGAUGCGAGCUACAGACGAGUUCGCGAGUAUGUAGUCACGAAGAGAGACGGCCUAGUGACUCACGCCGAAUCUGAAAAGUUGUCACGUCCGAAAAAGGAAAUCGACAGGAUCGACUGCUUCCUCGCCUGAUCCAUCUGACAUUAAAGGAAAGGCUCGCGCAUCCAAGAGCGAAACGAGAAAAGGUGGUCUUGCCUAGUGUUUUACGAAGCCCAAGUUGCAAGAGUUUCCUGUGUGACAGGCAAUAAGUAAAGUCAUUCGAAGAAGAGAUAAGCAAAGAGCACUUAAAAAAAAGUAUUAUUAUCCGCAUCGAGUCCCUGUGAAAGUCCAAUUAUUUCGAAACGAAAUGUGGUGACUCUCGUGAUGACGAGGUGGCACGUGCAUAAUUCGAGAUAUAUUUCGAUUUUGUUCAGAGCGGCGAAAGCUACUUGUCUUUCGUCCUGAGAGAUCCACGCGCGUGAUUUUAUCUGGGAAAAAGCCGGGCGUUUCUAAAACCAUGAAGAGCAACGCUUAGCUUCUUCAGUUGCGCUCUAAUUACCCGCCGUACUCUACGGCCAUCCGCUCUGCUAUCAUGAACUGUAACUGUAUGGUACAGUUUCUUCGUGGUCAGCGAUGAUUACGCGACAGUAAAACCUGAAAGCCUGAAUAAAGGAUAAUACUCAAUGAGCAUCCGUUGUCGCUCUUGAGAUAUGCCAUCCGUUGCCUCGCGUUUCCAAGCGCUGAAUAGCCAUUUCGGUAAUAAUGUAAUAUUUAAGAGAGAUUCGACGAAUGAACUAACUUCGCUUAAACGCAAUUAGAUACUACGAUAAUUUAAUUCAGAAAAAACUUUUUAAGCUUCGUUUCUACAUUAUACAGAUUUUGUAUUCCGAUUAUUUUAUCUGAUUGUGAGUUAGAAUCUCGCAUUUAUACCAGAGAACUUCUGCUUUUAAAUUCCGCAGUGUUUAAACCCGAGCCACAGUUUGUUUAUAUUAUUUGCUACAAAAAGCGGUUCGGUUUGAAGAGCGAACAUCUCGAUCCCGCGAGGAUACUUUGCGAGAUAGACAUCGGUUUACAAACGUGCGUUCAACCCGACUAACCGGUGCAUUCUCGGCCGAUGAUUCCGUCAGACCGGCUCGCCACGGACGUAUUUACUCCUGUUAGAGCAUUCCCAUAGUAACACGAAAACGUCACAAAGAGAGACUCGCAUUCGCGCUCGAACAAUGCACAGCUGUCGGACUUUGGUAAUUGCCUGAAAACAACGUUGACUUCUAACUAGCUGUCUGACGAGGAGAAUGCAUCGCUGCCUUCGCACUGACAAGCCUUUCGCGAAGGAUUGGCAAAUUGGCCGUGCGUCCAACUGUGUCGAAAUCGUCGAAGAAUACGAUGAACUGGCAAGAACGACGAGAAUACGGAAUAUCGUCUAGCCAAAAGCAGACGUGUCGCAAUCUCGCGAACAUUUCACGCCGAUUGUUUCGCACGGAACAUUACACCUCGCGUAGCAAUUAAGAUCAAUUGAAGCAAAUGCAGUCAUCGAAAGCCAUUUGAAGAGUAAUUCACUGAUUAAUGGAAUCGCGGUCUCCGUGAAAUUGGGAAUUCUCACGAGGAAUGUGGCCUGCAAUUCCAAUACCGUCCGGAAAUGCGCCAUGAUCGGAUAAUACGGAUGGCCACUUCGUGAAUGCCUUUGUUGGAAACCCACGUCGCGUAAAUCUCUCUUCUCGUCGCAUGUAUGAUGGCCGGAAAAUGCGCAUCGCGAAUCUGGUACGCGCUUAAAAGCUAUCCGAGAUCAAGGCGACUCACGGCGAACGUGAUAAAAUGCACAUAAAUUUCAGAUCGUAAUUCAACUGUCAGCCGUAUCAGUGAUUCACAUACCUUUCAUGUUGCCCAAUCGCAACGAGGAAUUGAAAAGAGACUUUUUUUGCGAAAAUUAACGAGAACUGAAAACGAGAGCUAAGCAUCAUAUUAACGAUUUACAAAUUGUAGAGCAUAUCAUAUUUUAAGUCUCCAUGCUUGCAAUAAAAAAAAAUAAAAAAAGAGGAAGAACAGCGUGAAAUUUAAUUUUUCUGCUCCACAACGAUAUAUUAGGUGUUGCCGUUUUUUAUCAAAUUAAUUAAUGUAGAGAUGCCUUUCUCAGUCUUGAUGUUGUUGUUUUCAUAUAAAGCCAUAUAUCAUUAUAACUAUCACUUUUCAUCAAUUAACCGAUAUCGUCGAAAAUAAAAAUCUUCAGCUGCAGUACCAACGGUUCUUACAGAGUGAAACGCGAUCGAGAUCGAAAAAGAAAUUUGCGAAAAAUUGCGGGGAAAGUUUGUAGAAAGAGGAGAAGUAGGAUUGUGCAGUGCGAUGGAAAACCGGUUGCCCGUCUACUGUUAAACCAACUAUUAGAAUGAUUAAUUUUUUCGUGUUCCACGUGCUUCGUCUAUCUCCAGCCUUUCGAAGAGCGAAGUUAUUCAAGUUCGGAAAUUGAGAAAGCGAAAGUUUGCGGAUACGGAAAACCCUUGAAGCAUGAAAUCUUACAUCACCAGGCGCAUCCAGAAAACUAAUUAUAAAAAUAAAACUUGGCGUCGAAUGAACGAACGAAUAAUGUUUCCUAUACGUUUGCUUCCGAACUCGCAAUCGUGUGAGCUUCUUGAAUAAUUCAGACUCCUUUCUUCCCUAAUGGAUAUUUUAUGAAACGGUGUCUCUGUUGCAAUUUUUAAAUAAUCGAUAUUACUUAAAAAUACUUGAUGACUGAAUAUUACUGCGUAGCGGCGAACUUUGGUUAAAACGGCACAUGUCCAACAUAUACGUUUCUUUGAAGGUCGACUUGUACUUUUAUGACAAACGCGGCAUCCGGUGUGAGCAUCGUUCAUUCAAGAAAUCACCUGUUUUCACGGCAGGUGAAGAAUAUGGAAUACACCGGAUAUGUCUCACAUAUGCGAAGUACAAUCCAUCGAUGCUCGCACGAAACUGCGAUAACAGAUGUGGAACUCUUUCAUAUAAAAAUUUCAACACGCACGAGUUGUAGCAUAGUCAUUCCAACUUCUAACGUGUCACAACAACGUGUAACAACGCAAAUCUGAGUCCUUGUAAUUUUAACUUACUUUAUUAUUACAAAUAAAUAUAACUUAAAAUGAUCAAAAACUGACGAAUAACUAUUUAUCAAAAUUUAAUGGAGCAUGAUAUUUUGUUAUUUUUGGUCUCUCUAAUUAAUUAUCUUACUUUGAAUGUUAAAUUGUUUCGUUAUAUUUUCUUGAUCGGUAUCAAACUAUUCUAACUUACAAGAUUCUGAUGCAAAGUAAAACUUCCGCAGAUCUAUUUCACCGACAAACGUUAAUCGAUCCAAUGACAAUACAACAAUUAUAACGCUGAGCAAAAAAUAUAUUUUUUAAGGGAUACUCAUGAUGGACCAGAUCUUACUUUACUGAUAAGGAAAAAUCGUUAGAGUCAACGAGGAGAUUAGGUACGCUCGGAAUCACCGUUACAAGUGCCUACCUGUCCUGGGGGGACCUAAAUAAUGGCAACCCAGCGCGCUUCACCUGGGAAAUAAUCAAUAAGGACAAGCAAGUCGGUGCGGGUGUAUACAGGUAUACACCGACCUGACAUCGCCACUGACCGCUACUUUUCCGCGAUACAUUCGACGCGAGAUUCCUUUCGUUAGAAAUAAAGUGAGUAACUUUUAUAUUCAUCUAUUUUCUAUGCCAUGUCUUUUUCAGAAUUCGCUUUCUGGAUACGAAACUUUGCGCUUAUUCAUGUUUAAAAAAUUUUUAAAUAAAUUAAAACAGAAUUCUCAGGACUUUCCGUUGUUUGUCGAAUGGAGCAAUUUUGUUCUUCAAAAGGAUAACCGGCAUUCCACAAGUUCUCUAUAAAUAGCGUCACGGUGCUCUCCAAAAAACAAAGGAUAUUCGCGAAAGUGGUUGAAUUGGACCGUACAAUAAGACGGAGAUGAUGAUCAACGUUGCGCAGCGACAAACGUUGAGAUGUCAGCAUGAAAGAGAGAGAUUGCUUUUCCUCCUGAUACGAUCUGCGCGGGAAGAGGAUGAACCCUUAUUUUCGGGUCAACAAUACUCUGAGCUCUGCUCGCGUCUUUUAUCUCCACUUUCUUUUUCAAUUUAUCUACUCGAUCGAAUGAGAACUGCCUUGGAAGAUACAAUCUAUAUUUUGAAACGAAAAUACAUGCGUAAAUCAAGAUUAGCGGACUGGAUUAUAAAGGUAAGUCACGUUCGGAUUUAUGAGCCUGUCUGGAUACGCGCAAAGGCAAGUGCCGCCGUUUGUCGUUGACACGGCACACCACCUCGUCAAGAUCAAUAGGACUACCGCGAAGAGGUGACGGGAGAAGCAAGUAUGCACGAAGAAUUAAGUGCAAUGACCGAACAACACGAUAAACUCUCGGCGGUACAACGUGGGCGUUCGUUCUCAAAAACAGCUAAUAUCGAACAUAAUAAAAUACAAAUUACUUGAAAGUACAUCAAGUUAAUGUAAAAAAUAACACUUUCUUCGACAACGCGAACGUUCGUUCUCGAAAACAAAACAACAAAUAUCGAACAGGUACAAAUUACUUGAACAUAAGUCAAACUAAUUUAGAAAUAAUACUUUCUUCGAAAGAGUUGAUAUCGUUAAAAAGUCUGGCGUAACUAAAAAAAACUAAAUAAAGAUCUCUCUCGCGUCGGAUGACAAUGCAUUAGAACUCUCGAAACAACACGGACAAACGUGACGAGGAGAACAAAGUAUAUACGCGUCAUGCUCACUCUCCUCUCACUUUGGUGAACUCAUCCUCGACGAUUAUAGAACACUGACGCGCAAUGGUCGCGACCAUAACGCUGUGGUGUACCGUUAAAGUAACUUACAUGAGGCGGUGCAUCGUCGACCCGGUACUGGCGAUACUCCCAUAGCAACCAACUGACCUAAAUACGACAUUGUUGAAUAAUCCGGACAAUUACGAAAAAACGCGUCGUUAGCACAUGUAAUUGCAUCGUGACGGGGUUUCUCAUUAACGCCUUUUCGUGUCAUGCGAUAACCAAGAAUCAAGAGUGGGCAUUAACAUUCUCUUGCCCGGUUUCGACGCUACAAAAGAAAUUAUCGAGCCACAUUUCUCAUAAGUUUUAAUCUUGAUGUAUCUGUCUCUGUCCCUCUUUUUCCCUCUCUCUUUCGCUCUAUGAGCCUCCUUCACCUCUUCCUAAAUAGAAUAGCGAGACGUGAAUGAUACUUCAACUGGUGAUAUGAACGGACAGUAAUUAGAGACGAGUAACAAUUGUUACAUUAGAAAUUUAUUAUUUAUCCCCUGCAUUAUUUAAAGCUAUCGUUUCAAUAUAUAUAUAAUAUACGAAAAUUGCGUUCGUAAACGAAUUCAUAAAUGCAAUGCAAGUGAUUUGAUCGCGCGAGGGAAAUUGCGGCGCGCCUUUGGCUACAGCAUUAAUGAAAGGAAUAGGUGUGUCGGCAUGGACGAUGACGUUUCGACGGUCACGGUCUGAGAGAAUGGUGGUUUCUUUGGACUUUCUCGCACCCGGCGAUCACUCGAUACUUCGGUGUUCGCAAGCGUACAAUAAACGCGACGCGACCGCUCGUAGGAUUCAUCGUGCUAAGGAGGCUUCUUGAAUUUCGCUAGACGUUAAACCGGUCGAAAUCAUUAUGUGAUCAUUACACGCUCCUCCCCCAAAGUAAAGCGCCGUUUGCAAAUGAUCAUCGAUCCUGUUAAUCCUGUCCAGUACGCAAAAAAGCAUCCACACGCGUUUAUCUCGCUAAAACAGAGAUUCUCGCUUUCGAUACAUUUGUAAAAGUCGCAAAGAUUUUCUCGAAACGUCUUUGCGAUCGAUGACGCAUGAUAUUUAUAAAUUCAUUGGAUACAUUUAUCGAUUAAAAAUACUUGUUAUUAAUAUUGAUAUUGAAGUUUCUUUGUAUCGCUCAAGAGCUCUGAAAUUUUAAUUGUUUCCGUUUCAAUCUCGAUCAAGUUAUUGCUGGUUUAAAUGCAUUAAUUAAAUGCAUCUAUGAGCUUCUUCUUCCUUCCAGCUCUGUGUCCUUCCAGAAUCUAAUUCAUCUAAUUUAUACCAUUGGGAUCAGGUAAAAGAGAUCUCUCGUUAGCCACAUCCGGAUUAUAAUUGAUUCAUUACUGAUAGAGGUGUGCCCAUAAAUAUCAUACAAAACAACAAAAUAUUAUAUCCGUUGAGAACGUCAUUCUUGCGUUUUCUCACGCUAUAAACAGAAAAUCGACGCGAGCGCGAGCAAGUCGCAAGUCCUUCCGUUAGCCCCGACAGAUUUUGCUUCUAGAUACAGAUUCGAUACAGGAGAGCGGAUUGCGCAACUGGUUAUACGGUUCAUCGACGGUGAAGCAAUCUCAAAAAGAAAUCGAGAUCAUUGACCCCGAAUACGGCCUUCGACGACAUUUUCGUACACAUCUACAUCGAUAUUUUUAUUGUAUGUGUAAUAACGGAUUAUUGAUGAUCGUUAGAUGUGUUAGACCAGUUAGACAGUCAUCACACUCGUUUGAGGAUACUGAAUACGUGUGUUAAAUCUAUCUUUGAAAAAAUGUAAUCAUUAAUACGCUGUUAUUAUUUUCAUGUGGAAAACUGUAAAUGUACAAUGUCGAUUGUUUGCGAAUCGUAUUCUGUUUAUCGUCAUCUGCUUUCAAGAACAAGAAAUUUUCGUACGACAAAGUUAGCUCCAAAUGUUAAAGCGUUAUGUUAAUAGACCUCGAAAAUAUAUAAGUCAGACGGUAAAGCAGUAAUAAAUUUUUCACAAUUAUAAAUCCGCCGUUAUCUCGGCACGAUAAAUUACGUUUCUCACGUGGCACUUGUUUAACGAUCCAUGCGAUUGAAGUUGCUCGCGAAGCGCCGGUUAUCGAUAAAUAAAUGCAAUUUUACGUGCGCGAUUUAGUACCAACUGUAAACAGGAUUCGUUAAACUUGUCGACGGAAAAAGAGAGGCACACUUUACAGUUACCUCCGAGCGAUUGAUAAAUUUAUCAUCGGAUGUAUAUCCGCUCUGUGGAUCCGCGCGAUAUAAUUUAUUGGAAUAAUUAAAAAUAAUUUACCGACGUAAUUUCAAGAACGAUUAGACGAGUAUUCUCCGGCAGAAACGUUUCGAUGUUGUUUCGAUCGGAUGUUGAUGCAAUUGAUACGAAACGCCGAAGAAAGCAAAACAAUGUUAUUAACAGCGUGUGUUAUUGAUAGAAGUACAAUCUGAAAUGUGACGAAACGAGUCCUGACACGCUGUUAGAUACGUGAGUCCUGCAAUUGAAAUGUAUGACAACAAAGUCAGUAACGUGUCAAGGACCGUUACGUGAAAUAUCGAAUGAAAGUCUAUAUCGUCCAUACGUAUAUAUUGCUCUCGUAUCAAAAAAGCAAUUCUUUUUCAUUAUACGUUUCCACAGUUCGCUGGUGCCAAUACCAAUUUUUCGCAUCAAUUUGCGAUAGUUUCCAAUAUUUACCAAUAAAAUAAAUUCUGCAAACAA
This 7935-nucleotide long non-coding RNA is filed under the name Ooceraea biroi (clonal raider ant). RNAcentral describes it as "uncharacterized LOC105282019". Lineage: Eukaryota; Metazoa; Arthropoda; Insecta; Hymenoptera; Formicidae. The record is from RNAcentral.